UACGGAAGGCAGCAGUGGGGAAUAUUGCACAAUGGGCGCAAGCCUGAUGCAGCCAUGCCGCGUGUAUGAAGAAGGCCUUCGGGUUGUAAAGUACUUUCAGCGGGGAGGAAGGCGGUGGAGUUAAUAGCUUCACCGAUUGACGUUACCCGCAGAAGAAGCACCGGCUAACUCCGUGCCAGCAGCCGCGGUAAUACGGAGGGUGCAAGCGUUAAUCGGAAUUACUGGGCGUAAAGCGCACGCAGGCGGUCUGUCAAGUCGGAUGUGAAAUCCCCGGGCUUAACCUGGGAACUGCAUUCGAAACUGGCAGGCUAGAGUCUUGUAGAGGGGGUAGAAUUCCAGGUGUAGCGGUGAAAUGCGUAGAGAUCUGGAGGAAUACCGGUGGCGAAGGCGGCCCCUGGACAAGGACUGACGCUCAGGUGCGAAAGCGUGGGGAGCGAAACAGGAUUAGAUACCCGU
RNAcentral lists this ribosomal RNA (456 nucleotides) under uncultured bacterium. Its description in RNAcentral is "bacterial SSU rRNA". It matches the Rfam family "Bacterial small subunit ribosomal RNA", at positions 340 to 789 of the family's 1533-position model. The record is from RNAcentral.